This 21-nucleotide non-coding RNA is filed under the name Caenorhabditis elegans. The record is from RNAcentral. Lineage: Eukaryota; Metazoa; Nematoda; Chromadorea; Rhabditida; Rhabditidae.
UAAUUGUGAACUCCUUUUCAU